Molecule: long non-coding RNA, 150 nt
Organism: Hibiscus syriacus
Lineage: Eukaryota; Viridiplantae; Streptophyta; Magnoliopsida; Malvales; Malvaceae
Exons: 3
Source: RefSeq, a predicted model, not a curated record
UUCAUUUUAAAUUCAAAAAAUGAUUGAAUUCAAUAGAAAAGCACAUUUUGGAACAACAAUGGCGGCACAGAAAGGUGAGCUGGUUAGCUUAGACUGCAGCAAGGGUAAAAGAUAAUGGUCCACAAGAAAUAUCAAUAAUUUUUAAAUAAA